CCUACGGGAGGCUGCAGUGAGGAAUAUUGGUCAAUGGACGAGAGUCUGAACCAGCCAAGUAGCGUGAAGGAUGACUGCCCUAUGGGUUGUAAACUUCUUUUAUAUAGGAAUAAAACACGGCACGUAUGCCUUUUUGCAUGUACUUUAUGAAUAAGGAUCGGCUAACUCCGUGCCAGCAGCCGCGGUAAUACGGAGGAUCCGAGCGUUAUCCGGUUUUAUUGGGUUUAAAGGGAGCGUAGGUGGAUUGUUAAGUCAGUUGUGAAAGUUUGCGGCUCAACCGUAGAAUUGCAGUUGAAACUGGUAGUCUGGAGUAUAGUAGAGGUGGGCGUAAUUCGUGGUGUAGCGGUAAAAUCCUUAGAUAUCACGAAGAACUCCGAUUGCGAAGGCAGCUCACUGGACUGCAACUGACACUGAUGCUCGAAAGUGUGGGUAUCAAACAGGAUUAGAUACCCUAGUAGUC
Molecule: ribosomal RNA, 460 nt
Filed under: uncultured bacterium
Lineage: Bacteria
Description: partial 16S ribosomal RNA
Rfam family: Bacterial small subunit ribosomal RNA
Source: RNAcentral